Non-coding RNA from Pocillopora damicornis (cauliflower coral), 73 nucleotides. The record is from the annotation of a RefSeq genome assembly. Lineage: Eukaryota; Metazoa; Cnidaria; Anthozoa; Scleractinia; Pocilloporidae.
GUUUCUGUGGUGGAGUGGUUAUCAUAUUCGCCUAACACGCGGAAGGUCGCUGGUUCGAGCUCUGCCAGAAUCA